This 1987-nucleotide long non-coding RNA is filed under the name Malus domestica (apple). RNAcentral's name for it is "long non-coding RNA (MDOM_LNC007501)". Lineage: Eukaryota; Viridiplantae; Streptophyta; Magnoliopsida; Rosales; Rosaceae. The record is from RNAcentral.
AAAUAUCGACUCAUGAAACACCUCAUGCACUUACAACAACUCUGGAAGCCAUUUAAAUCUGUAUUCAACUUCAUCAACCUUUCGAUGAUCACAUAAAAUUCGGUUCACUUAGGAUUUAACUUGCCUUCCUAUCCAGACCGAAUCACACUUUUCCAAGGUGAAAACUUCGAAAAUAUAAAACCAUCUGUCUUAUACACUCGAUUAGUGGCAUAUCCCUCUGUUAAUCUCUUUUUCCAUUCCUGGUUACUUUCAGGUUAACUUAAUCACCUGAAUACUUUGAGGAGACUCAUCCAUAGUCUCAGGGCCUACUAAAACUCUUUCGUGAUCGAAUCUUUCUCUACCCAGAAACAUUCCAUUCACAAGUCAACAAAAACCGACUCACAUGACACAUUUCAUGGUCCUUAUGGCGUUACUUCGGAAACUGCACAACCAACAUACUUAAGAAACUCAGCAGUUCCGUAACCCAAUUCUCUUUUCCAUAAAACAAAUAAGUACUGUUGCACUGUCUGGGAAAGGUUGUUACUCAACACUGGAGUAAAUGUACUAACUUGUUACGUUAACCAACUAUUACUUUAAAUUCGACCAUAACCAUCCUAUGUACAAGGAAACUUGUACACAUAAUCCAAAGUAAUAUCUUUCCAUUUCCACUGCGAAACAGAAAAUAGUUAUCUCAAUCCAAAGGUUUAUCUUUUUCUGCCUCAAUCUGCUGACCAAAUAAAACUGUCGAAUGGUAUGAUAAAUCUUAUUACUUUUGGAAUAUUGCAGAAGUUAAACAAUGUACUUCGUCCAAAAUUGCUUGCUUUAAAUCCUUAGCAUUAGGCACAUACUUUUUGUUUUCUUGUAUCCACAUACCAUUUGAUUCACGAAUCAUGUACUCAUUCUUUUUCCCUUCUUUCUCUGCCUUGAUUAAUUCUUAAAUUUCCUCGUCAAACAUUUAAGUUUAAUCGACAAAGUUGCAUACAAGUUUGUGAUGCCUUCAGAAUUGGCUAAGGCACAUAAUGUAUUUUGUGUUCGAUGCGUUGUCACUAGGUGGCAGAGUCGUCUCAUGGAAUUCUGGUGCAACUAUUGAGAAUUAAACUGGAUCUAAUUAGUGAGGAGCCAAUGACGACUUUGGAUUGGAAAAAGAAAGUACUGAGAAUGACAGUAUAAGUGGUAAAAGUUUUGUGAAGGAAUUAUUCGGUGGAAGAAAAUGGCGUAGGAGAAAAAGAAUCGGAUGAGAGAGAUUUAUCUGAGGCUAUUGUUGGAGUAUGGUUGAUUUAGUUGGUUGCUGGAAUUUCGGGGACGAAAUUCUAUAAGGAGGGAAGAUUGUCACAGCCCGUCCCGGAAUUAUAAAUUAUGAGGACGUGAAAGUACGAAAAUAACCUUAAACGUGUCAAGGUGCGUAAGUGUGAAGUUGUUCAAUCUAAGUUCAUAACUUUUGGUUAAUUAAAAUAUCUUGUGGGAUAAGAACUUAGAAUUAGGUUUACAUUUAUUGUAUUAAUUUUAGUUAAGGACUGAGAAGGGGCCACGUGGGAUCCCCAUUCCUUAUUUCCCUCCCUAAAACCCGUAACUCCUUCUCUCUCUUUUUCUUCUUUCAUCUCAGAAAACUCUCUCACUCUCUCUCUUACUCUCGAACAUACGGACUCACACCCAACCUCAAUCAAACCUCCACGAACGUCCAAUUUAAGACUACCAUCGUGAUCCUGAGGACUUCACGAACACAGGGAUACCAAAUUCAGGUGAGUUUCAUUUCGAAAAACCCUAGUUUUUAAAGCCCCGUGAAAUGGCACUGUUCAUGAUCUUCUAAAUGACUACGUUUUAGGCUAAAACAAGCUCACAGUGAGCUUAAGGAGGUCACGAGGAGGCUCGGAGUGCCUCGUUUGAACAAAAUGGACGUCGGGAUCACUUGGUUCGAGUUUGGCCGGAUUUUGGAAUUAUUGGAAAGGUAUGAUCUCGUUGUUUUUAGGCCUUAAAACUAGUCCAACGCGAUAGUAGAUGUUUAGGACUU